GAUUGCAGGCUGCAACCCGCCUGCAUGAAGUCGGAAUUGCUAGUAAUCGCGGAUCAGCAUGCCGCGGUGAAUACGUUCCCGGGCCUUGUACACACCGCCCGUCACACCAUGGGAGCCGGUAAUACCCGAAGUCAGUAGUCCAACCUCGUGAGGACGCUGCCGAAGGUAGGAUUGGCGACUGGGGUGAAGUCGUAACAAGGUAUC
This 204-nucleotide ribosomal RNA is filed under the name uncultured bacterium. RNAcentral's name for it is "partial 16S ribosomal RNA". It matches the Rfam family "Bacterial small subunit ribosomal RNA", at positions 1296 to 1500 of the family's 1533-position model. The record is from RNAcentral.